UACGGAGGGGGCUAGCGUUGUUCGGAAUUACUGGGCGUAAAGCGCACGUAGGCGGACUGGAAAGUCAGAGGUGAAAUCCCAGGGCUCAACCUUGGAACUGCCUUUGAAACUCCCGGUCUUGAGGUCGAGAGAGGUGAGUGGAAUUCCGAGUGUAGAGGUGAAAUUCGUAGAUAUUCGGAGGAACACCAGUGGCGAAGGCGGCUCACGGGCUCGAUAUUGACGUUGAGGUGCGAAAGCGUGGGGAGCAAACAGG
Molecule: ribosomal RNA, 253 nt
Filed under: uncultured bacterium
Lineage: Bacteria
Description: partial 16S ribosomal RNA
Rfam family: Bacterial small subunit ribosomal RNA
Source: RNAcentral